UGAGGUAUCCAGAAUCGAGCCUAAGCACGAAGAAGACGAACGGUGGUGAACCAGAUGACAACAAGAAAGAUGGCGCCAGACAUGGUACAAAGUCCCCUUAUACAGGCGGCAGCAGUUCCAAAGGCCAGACUCCAUCAACAACUCCAGCAACCACGUCCAACACCGCGCCAAUGUCGCCGCAACCGUCAC
This is a long non-coding RNA of Rhipicephalus sanguineus (brown dog tick), 189 nucleotides long. RefSeq lists it as uncharacterized. Lineage: Eukaryota; Metazoa; Arthropoda; Arachnida; Ixodida; Ixodidae. The transcript is spliced from 3 exons. The record is from RefSeq and is a predicted model, not a curated record.